UCCCUCCUCUUAUUGUUUAUUCCCUCCUCUUAUUGUUUAUUCCCUCCUCUUAUUGUUUAUUCCCUGCUCUUAUUGUUUAUUCCCUGCUCUUAUUGUUUAUUCCCUGUUCUUAUUGUUUAUUCCCUGUUCUUAUUGUUUAUUCCCUGCUCUUGUUGUUUAUUCCCUGCUCUUAUUGUUUAUUCCCUGCUCUUAUUGUUUAUUCCCUCCUCUUAUUGUUUAUUCCCUCCUCUUGUUGUCUAUUCCCUCCUCUUGUUGUUUAUUCCCUCCUCUUGUUGUUUAUUCCCUCCUCUUGUUGUUUAUUCCCUGCUCUUAUUGUUUAUUCCCUGCUCUUAUUGUUUAUUCCCUCCUCUUAUUGUUUAUUCCCUCCUCUUAUUGUUUAUUCCCUCCUCUUAUUGUUUAGUCCCUCCUCUUAUUGUUUAUUCCCUCCUCUUAUUGUUUAUUCCCUCCUCUUAUUGUUUAUUCCCUGCUCUUAUUGUUUAUUCCCUGCUCUUAUUGUUUAUUCCCUGUUCUUAUUGUUUAUUCCCUGUUCUUAUUGUUUAUUCCCUGCUCUUGUUGUUUAUUCCCUGCUCUUAUUGUUUAUUCCCUCCUCUUAUUGUUUAUUCCCUCCUCUUGUUGUUUAUUCCCUGCUCUUAUUGUUUAUUCCCUCCUAUUGUUGAUUAUUCCCUCCUAUUGUUGUUUAUUCCCUGCUCUUAUUGUUUAUUCCCUCCUCUUAUUGUUUAUUCCCUGCUCUUAUUGUUUAUUUCCUCCUCUUGUUUUUUAUUCCCUCCUCUUGUUGUUUAUUCCCUGCUCUUAUUGUUUAUUCCCUGUUCUUAUUGUUUAUUCCCUGCUCUUAUUGUUUAUUCCCUGUUCUUAUUGUUUAUUCCCUCCUCUUAUUGUUUAUUCCCUGCUCUUAUUGUUUAUUCCCUGUUCUUAUUGUUUAUUCCCUCCUCUUAUUGUUUAUUCCCUCCUCUUGUUGUUUAUUCCCUGCUCUUAUUGUUUAUUCCCUGUUCCUAUUGUUUAUUCCCUCCUCUUAUUGUUUAUUCCCUCCUCUUGUUGUUUAUUCCCUCCUCUUAUUGUUUAUUCCCUGUUCUUAUUGUUUAUUCCCUCCUCUUAUUGUUUAUUCCCUCCUCUUGUUGUUUAUUCCCUGCUCUUAUUGUUUAUUCCCUGUUCCUAUUGUUUAUUCCCUCCUCUUAUUGUUUAUUCCCUCCUCUUGUUGUUUAUUCCCUCCUCUUAUUGUUUAUUCCCUGUUCUUAUUGUUUAUUCCCUCCUCUUAUUGUUUAUUCCCUCCUCUUGUUGUUUAUUCCCUGUUCUUAUUGUUUAUUCCCUCCUCUUAUUGUUUAUUCCCUGCUCUUAUUGUUUAUUCCCUGCUCCUAUUGUUUAUUCCCUGUUCUUAUUGUUUAUUCCCUGCUCUUAUUGUUUAUUCCCUGUUCUUGUUGUUUAUUCCCUGCUCUUGUUGUUUAUUCCCUCCUCUUAUUGUUUAUUCCCUGCUCUUAUUGUUUAUUCCCUUCUCUUAUUGUUUAUUCCCUCCUCUUAUUGUUUUUUCCUGCUCUUAUUGUUUAUUUCCUCCUCUUGUUGUUUAUUCCCUCCUCUUGUUGUUUAUUCCCUGCUCUUAUUGUUUAUUCCCUGUUCUUAUUGUUUAUUCCCUCCUCUUAUUGUUUAGUCCCUCCUCUUGUUGUUUAUUCCCUCCUCUUGUUGUUUAUUCCCUCCUCUUGUUGUUUAUUCCCUGCUCUUAUUGUUUAUUCCCUCCUCUUGUUGUUUAGUCCCUCCUCUUGUUGUUUAUUUCCUCCUCUUGUUGUUUAUUCCCUGCUCUUGUUGUUUAUUCCCUGUUCACAUUGUUUAUUCCCUGCUCUUACAUGGUGUGUUGAUAAACUCAAGCCAGCAGUAUUAACUAAAAAGCAGGCCCUAAUUUGCAUUUAG
Oncorhynchus mykiss (rainbow trout) is the source of this 1896-nucleotide long non-coding RNA. The record is from Ensembl. NCBI's taxonomy places the organism in Eukaryota, Metazoa, Chordata, Actinopteri, Salmoniformes, Salmonidae.